UGGGGAAUUUUGGACAAUGGGCGAAAGCCUGAUCCAGCAAUGCCGCGUGUGUGAAGAAGGCCUUCGGGUUGUAAAGCACUUUUGUCCGGAAAGAAAUCCUUGGCUCUAAUACAGUCGGGGGAUGACGGUACCGGAAGAAUAAGCACCGGCUAACUACGUGCCAGCAGCCGCGGUAAUACGUAGGGUGCAAGCGUUAAUCGGAAUUACUGGGCGUAAAGCGUGCGCAGGCGGUUUGCUAAGACCGAUGUGAAAUCCCCGGGCUCAACCUGGGAACUGCAUUGGUGACUGGCAGGCUAGAGUAUGGCAGAGGGGGGUAGAAUUUCACGUGUAGCAGUGAAAUGCGUAGAGAUGUGGAGGAAUACCGAUGGCGAAGGCAGCCCCCUGGGCCAAUACUGACGCUCAUGCACGAAAGCGUGGGGAGCAAACAGGAUUAGAUACCCUGGUAGUCCACGCCCUAAACGAUGUCAACUAGUUGUUGGGGAUUCAUUUCCUUAGUAACGUAGCUAACGCGUGAAGUUGACCGCCUGGGGAGUACGGUCGCAAGAUUAAAACUCAAAGGAAUUGAC
Molecule: ribosomal RNA, 566 nt
Filed under: uncultured bacterium
Lineage: Bacteria
Description: partial 16S ribosomal RNA
Rfam family: Bacterial small subunit ribosomal RNA
Source: RNAcentral